GUCUAAGGCCAUACCACCCUGAACAUGCUCGAUCUCGUCUCAUCUCGGAAGCUAAGCUGGGUUGGGCCUGGUUAGUACUUGGGUGGGAGAAGUUUACAAAAGUCAAUCACCAUUGCAC
Molecule: non-coding RNA, 118 nt
Organism: Erinaceus europaeus (western European hedgehog)
Lineage: Eukaryota; Metazoa; Chordata; Mammalia; Eulipotyphla; Erinaceidae
Source: Rfam